RNAcentral lists this ribosomal RNA (460 nucleotides) under uncultured bacterium. RNAcentral describes it as "partial 16S ribosomal RNA". It matches the Rfam family "Bacterial small subunit ribosomal RNA", at positions 338 to 795 of the family's 1533-position model. The record is from RNAcentral.
CCUACGGGUGGCAGCAGUGAGGAAUAUUGGUCAAUGGUCGGGAGACUGAACCAGCCAAGCCGCGUGAGGGAUGAAGGUACAGAGUAUCGUAAACCUCUUUUGUCAGGGAACAACGGCGGGGACGUGUCCCCGGUUGAGUGUACCUGAAGAAUAAGCCACGGCUAACUACGUGCCAGCAGCCGCGGUAAUACGUAGGUGGCAAGCGUUAUCCGGAUUUACUGGGUGUAAAGGGCGUGUAGGCGGGGACGCAAGUCAGAUGUGAAAUCCACGGGCUCAACCUGUGGCCUGCAUUUGAAACUGUGUUGCGUGAGUACGGGGGAGGCAGACGGAAUUCGUAGUGUAGCGGUGAAAUGCGUAGAUAUUAGGAGGAACACCAGUGGCGAAGGCAGUCUGCUGUACAGCAACUGACGCUGAGGCGCGAAAGCGUGGGGAGCGAACAGGAUUAGAUACCCCAGUAGUC